This is a long non-coding RNA of Raphanus sativus (radish), 553 nucleotides long. RefSeq lists it as uncharacterized. The transcript is spliced from 3 exons. NCBI's taxonomy places the organism in Eukaryota, Viridiplantae, Streptophyta, Magnoliopsida, Brassicales, Brassicaceae. The record is from RefSeq and is a predicted model, not a curated record.
UAGACUACGUACUCCUUUCACUUGAAACCAUGAGGUUGAGGUGUACUAAUUCCAGCUUCUGUUUUUGUUUUGUUGGGAGAUAGAAUGGUUGGUCUUCCACAGGUUGAGAGCAGAAAGAAGAUCUUGAGAACCUUAUUGUCAAAAGAGAGAAGACAGAGAAUCUUGACUUCCACGAGCUUGCACAAAUGACAGAUGGAUAUAUUGGAAGUGAUCUCAAGAACUUUUGCACAACAGCUGCACAUCGACCCAUGAGGGAGCUGAUAAAGCAUGAGUGCUUGAAAGACCAGGAGGGGAAGAAGAAGAGGAAGCAGAGAAGACUAGUGAAGAGGGAUCUGAAGCAAAAGAAGCAACAGAGGAGAGAGUCAUAACAUUGAGAGCUUUGAGCAUGGAAGACAUAAGAAUAGCUAAAAGCCAGCAGGCAACUUAGUUGUGUUUGCUGAUCUUGUCCCAACAAAACUAACUGAUUUGCAUUUGCAGGUUACUGUUGUGUUUGCUGACCUUGUCCCAACAAAACUAACUGAUUUGAAAAAAAAAAAAAAAACUAACUGAUUUG